AUUGAACGCUGGCGGCAUGCCUUACACAUGCAAGUCGAACGGUAACAGGUCUUCGGAUGCUGACGAGUGGCGAACGGGUGAGUAAUACAUCGGAACGUGCCCGAUCGUGGGGGAUAACGAAGCGAAAGCUUUGCUAAUACCGCAUACGAUCUAAGGAUGAAAGCAGGGGACCGCAAGGCCUUGCGCGAACGGAGCGGCCGAUGGCAGAUUAGGUAGUUGGUGGGAUAAAAGCUUACCAAGCCGACGAUCUGUAGCUGGUCUGAGAGGACGACCAGCCACACUGGGACUGAGACACGGCCCAGACUCCUACGGGAGGCAGCAGUGGGGAAUUUUGGACAAUGGGCGAAAGCCUGAUCCAGCCAUGCCGCGUGCAGGAUGAAGGCCUUCGGGUUGUAAACUGCUUUUGUACGGAACGAAAAGACUCUGGUUAAUACCUGGGGUCCAUGACGGUACCGUAAGAAUAAGCACCGGCUAACUACGUGCCAGCCGCCGCCGUAA
This 498-nucleotide ribosomal RNA is filed under the name uncultured bacterium. RNAcentral describes it as "partial 16S ribosomal RNA". It matches the Rfam family "Bacterial small subunit ribosomal RNA", at positions 30 to 523 of the family's 1533-position model. The record is from RNAcentral.